CGAUGGCAAGUAUAAGUAACUAACAGUACGUACGCGUCUUCGGGCGCUGCAUGGCGGCCCUUAUAUACUUUGAUAUUGCUACUUCUUCAACUCCUGUUCGUUUAUUAAAGCGGAUUUUUAACCUUACAUGUGGCUUAGAAGUACUUAUGCAAAAGUUUUUUAUCUUAUCUUUCACAUAAAAAAAGAUUUAUAUUCCAACAGUCUUUCUACAAUGAGUUAUAAAUAAAUGAAAUUUGCGAGUUUAUUUUCGCUUCGCUUGCUGCGGUCUUCGUCUCCCGAUAUUUUUCAGCCUUCCGGUCACGUGACUUCCGCUUAUAAAGUAAGGCUAGGUAUACGUAUACGUACGAUAUAUACAUCACUAUGUAGUCAUCAGAGAAGAGAGAACCGGUCUUCUGCUAUUUAAAAUUUUUUUUAAUAUAAACAAAUCUAUGUUGAAUCAAUCAAUUAUAAUUUGUGAGUGAAAAAGUUAAUACUUUUAACCAAGAUACUAUACUAGCAUCACAAUUACCACUUUUGGAGUGCGAUUUGCUGCAUGGAGUUACUACUUGGAGUGCGAACUGCUUCAUGGAGUUUCAGUGCGACAAACUCCAUCAUUUUCAGCAGUCAAUCAAAUUAACGGGUUAAAUGAGAAUGGUGACUGGUUAAGAGGCAUCAUCGUAAGAACAAUAACUGGCUGUUUUACUAUGCUCUCAACUAUGCUGCUGUUGCUACUGGCUUUACUUUUCCACACAUUUGGUUUAAUCAAAUAGGGCAAGGACAAGGUUCAUAGACGAGACAGCAUCCAUAAAGUAGAUACGGAGGAUAAUGAUAACCAGUCAAUAAGAGUCACGAGAGGUCUACAAGAGGACAUUUGUAAACAUUGGUAAACCAUAUAACAGUUGUGCACUUGCAGCAGCAGGAUCAUAUUUUUCUCAGUUUAAUCACUUCAUCUUACAUACUAUGUAUCUUAAUUCUUACGGUUAAUUUAUCAACAGCAUACAUUGUCAAAAUCCAAGAGAGUUCGUUCUCCAGUGCUUAGUUCUUCAUUUCAAACUUUUAAUUUCAAAAAGGUUGCUGCUUAACGUGCUACUACAUAAGCCUGAUAAAUUCAUGCUGGUAGCAAUUUUUCCUAUAGAAAAUUUAGGUGUGGAACUGUGAUGUACUACCUAUCUACUACUGGAAGUAGUGCAAACUUUUAUCUGAUUCGUAAUUUCAGUACUGGGAACAAAUUGAAAGUUUUAAUUCAAAGUGCUAAAACUUUUGGAAUCAGCUGGACUGCAAAAAAUUCUACAGAAUAAGAUCAAUUUGAGGAUAAGAAGGAGCCAAAUAUUCCAUUACAAGGUUGGUUUUUGCAUAGAUUUUUCUUGGAUAAACUAGUGAACGAAUCACAAUAGUUAUCGAUUGCUUUAUAAUUGGUAUCAUCUUAUAACUAUUCAAAGUGACAUCGGAUCUUAAGUCUGUAUGGAAACAUUUAACCUACAAAAUUUAUAGGACUUCAAUAUUUUUUACCAGCAAAAGGAAGUCUUUAGCAAGGAGUUAUCAUUGUAAACUUAUCCAGACAAAAAAAUUGACAAUUAUGUACAACUAUUAUUACUUGAAUUUGAAACUCUCUACCCUUCUGAUGCUGUACCUUCCAGGCGCCUUAAAACUAGUAAAGCUACUGAUAUCAUUGUGUGUGCAUUCUCAAAUAUCUUGAGAAACUUGGAUCAAGCUAACCAGUGUUUUUGAGUAAGCUCGAGAUCCUUACAAAAUUAAGUCAAUGCCAAAAUAUUACAAACUAUCAGGAAUGAAAAUAAAAACUCAAUUCAAGAAUGAACAUAUGGAUUUAUUCAAAGUAUGAGGAUGCUAUACAUAAAAUAUAAGAAUAAUAUAAAAUAAUUCAAGAAGUCAGCGAGAGCUGUUAUAAACUAUCAGCAUUUAAUAAAAUUAAAAGUUGAAUCUGUUAAUGAAUUAUAUUCCGUACAAAUAGCAAAAUUAUCAAUUAAUUUAUAUGAAAAAUUUCUUUGUAAAUAAAAUAAAAAUUUGAAAUGAUAUAA
Long non-coding RNA from Nasonia vitripennis (jewel wasp), 2015 nucleotides. RefSeq lists it as uncharacterized. The record is from RefSeq and is a predicted model, not a curated record. Lineage: Eukaryota; Metazoa; Arthropoda; Insecta; Hymenoptera; Pteromalidae. The transcript has 6 exons.